AUGGGAGAUGAUAAGGAAACACAGGACUUUCCAGUGUGCAGUCUUCGAGAAAGGCUGACAGUGUGUCACAUCCCUUGGUGGUGUGAGAAAACAGACCUGAGAAGCAGUGUCUUUGCUCAGUCUCUCCACGUGUUUGUGGCAUGUUCCUCAGCUUGGAACCCCCCUGGGUCCUGGCCUGGUGAGCAUUCCUCCCCAGCUCCCCGACACCUGCUUUCGAUACAGGAAACUUGUCAGGGGUGCACCAACUGUGUUCCGUGUGGUCACAUGACCUGGGUCAGUCUCACGCCAGCCGUUCCCUGGAAGUCACCCGGGGUAGGUAGGUGAAAGAACGGGAGGGGGUGGUUAUAGCAAUGGAUCGGAAUCCAGGGCUGGCAGAAGGGCGACAGCCUGGCUCAGCGACCG
This 402-nucleotide long non-coding RNA is filed under the name Sus scrofa (pig). Its description in RNAcentral is "lncRNA (ENSSSCG00070010583.1)". Lineage: Eukaryota; Metazoa; Chordata; Mammalia; Artiodactyla; Suidae. The record is from RNAcentral.